This 465-nucleotide ribosomal RNA is filed under the name uncultured bacterium. RNAcentral describes it as "bacterial SSU rRNA". It matches the Rfam family "Bacterial small subunit ribosomal RNA", at positions 28 to 507 of the family's 1533-position model. The record is from RNAcentral.
GAUGAACGCUGGCGGUAUGCCUAACACAUGCAAGUCGUACGAGAGUUUUUAACUCUAGUGGCGGACGGGUGAGUAACACGUGAGAAUUUGCCUUUAGGAGGGGGACAACAAUUGGAAACGAAUGCCUAAUACCCCCAUAUGCUUUCGAGUGAAAUGGAUUUUAUCCGCCUAGAGAGAAGCUCGCGGCUGAUUAGCUUGUUGGUAAGGUAAGAGCUUACCAAGGCGACGAUCAGUAUCUGGUUUGAGAGGACGAUCAGACACACUGGAACUGAGACACGGCCCCAGACUCCUACGGGAGGCAGCAGUGGGGAAUCUUAGACAAUGGGGGAAACCCUGAUCCAGCAAUGCCGCGUGCAGGAUGAAGGCCUUCGGGUUGUAAACUGCUUUUGUACGGAACGAAACGGUGCUCACUAAUACUGGGCGCUAAUGACGGUACCGUAAGAAUAAGCACCGGCUAACUACGUG